CUAGCCCCUGUCUCUCCCGAGUUCACAGGGCAAAGACCCCUUCUUCAGCUCUCACUCCCAUAAGCCCCUUCUGCUGCUCCAACUGCCAUUCCCACCCCUGGCAACAUUCUAAAGUGAUGGUUCCUCAGUCUCAGUUUUCCUUUCCACACUGGGUUUAACUGAAGUGAAGUGGAAUCAAGGCCACAGAAGCAUGUCUGUUGGGUUAUUUCUGUUCUAAGGGGAGCACAGUAUCUUGACACAAAAGGAUUCUUGGAAGUCCAAGGGAUUGACUGUAUCACUUACCUUGCUGGAGCUCCACCCAAUGCAUUGCGAGAGGGAAGGAUCAGCUGCCCUACCUUCAAGAUGCCCCACCAGGGGAAGGAAGAACGAGCUUGGCUAACGCCUUUUGGGGUAAAUGUGUGUCAUCUGGCUCUUUUGCACAAAUUUGAUUACCCAUCAGCUGAUAAGCUCAGGAGUCUCUCAGACCAUGCUUUGUGUCUCUGGUGACCCUGACUCUGUGAUCUGUAUGCCCACAAUAAAUUCAAUUUUG
Monodelphis domestica (gray short-tailed opossum) is the source of this 529-nucleotide long non-coding RNA. RefSeq lists it as uncharacterized. Lineage: Eukaryota; Metazoa; Chordata; Mammalia; Didelphimorphia; Didelphidae. The record is from RefSeq and is a predicted model, not a curated record.